RNAcentral lists this ribosomal RNA (505 nucleotides) under uncultured bacterium. Its description in RNAcentral is "partial 16S ribosomal RNA". It matches the Rfam family "Bacterial small subunit ribosomal RNA", at positions 28 to 507 of the family's 1533-position model. The record is from RNAcentral.
GACGAACGCUGGCGGCGUGCCUAAUACAUGCAAGUAGAACGCACAGUUUAUACCGUAGCUUGCUACACCAUAGACUGUGAGUUGCGAACGGGUGAGUAACGCGUAGGUAACCUGCCUGGUAGCGGGGGAUAACUAUUGGAAACGAUAGCUAAUACCGCAUAAUAUUGAUUAUUGCAUGAUAAUUGAUUGAAAGAUGCUAUUGCAUCACUACCAGAUGGACCUGCGUUGUAUUAGCUAGUAGGUGAGGUAACGGCUCACCUAGGCGACGAUACAUAGCCGACCUGAGAGGGUGAUCGGCCACACUGGGACUGAGACACGGCCCAGACUCCUACGGGAGGCAGCAGUAGGGAAUCUUCGGCAAUAGACGAAAGUCUGACCGAGCAACGCCGCGUGAGUGAAGAAGGUUUUCGUAUCGUAAAGCUCUGUUGUAAGAGAAGAACGGGUGUGAGAGUGGAAAGUUCACACUGUGACGGUAUCUUACCAGAAAGGGACGGCUAACUACGUG